GUAGAAAAUACCAGUUUUUCCCUCCACCUGGUGUUAUGGACAACGCAAACAACAGGAUGGGUUCCAUGGUCAGACAAGUUUUUCAGAAACUUGAACAUGAACACAGUGAAUCUCAAGAGGGAUGAUGACAGAGAAUUCAAAGUGUGGACUGAACUUGCUGAGGCUUUUAGUUCCUCCUGACCUGAGCACUUAGGGACAUUCCCAGAGUGCACCGCAAGCUUCAGGACAUAGGCACACUUAUCUUACGGAUAGAGGAAUGCUCCCCACAGGUUUUAAACAACUUGUUGUAGGUCUCAUGUAGUGAGUUCAGACAAGCCAGGACUGAAAGCGAGCCUAACGCCAAAGCCUAUGGUAUUAACCACCAGACUAGGCUGCGGCCGUUUACCAUGGAGUUUUGACAAAUCCGACAUGCGAGAGAAUUCGAACAGUAUCUAUAGGCAAGGAGAGGAAGUCAAGACUCCACACCCAGGUGGAAACUUCGAGAUUGGCGUCGCUGAACUGAGGGUAGAAGGGGACCGCUGGCAAAGUGUGAAAUCCCACAUCCCAAGGCAGUCCUGUAUCAUGGAAAUCCAGACUAUCCAGGGGAGAAGACAGCCUCAGAACGGAAGCGAAGAGGGAGCAGAACACAGAGUGGUUCCACCAAUUCCAGUCUACAGCUCUGCCUGUGUGUGAGUUGGGAAUCCUGAUGAGCAAGACGGGUUCCCUGUUGAUGAUGAAAUCUCGCUGCAUUGUGAAGAAAGCUGCCAUGUUCCUCAAUAGAGUUCUCCGUUGCUGAACGUCAUGGUAACAACUAACAUUUAAGAAACACUUACCAGCAGCCCUUUCAGGUGUGAAGCAGGAAGCCACGGGUGCCUUCCUUGGCAAGAUCCCCGACAGACAUGUGCUGGAACUGGUUCCUCCAGGCCCAUUAGAGCUGAUCGUGUGCAUGCGUGUCUUCCCAGCUCUGGUCGGUGCUGUCCCCAUUGGCAGCUUGAAAUUAGCCACGGUGGGAGAAGUUACCCCAUGGGAACUGGCAAACCCUACAGAUCAAGGCUCCUUACGCCGCCUCCCCACCCCCAUCCUUCCCCCAAAUGAGUGAAUGUCCUUGUGCCUUGGAAAUAGUAAGAGUACUUCCCUUCUAGGUUAUUCAGUUCGAUAAAGUAUGUAAAGCAUAUGGCAUUGUUUGUAUGUUUAUUUAUUUAAAUAAAUAAUGCAUACUGAGGGUUGAAAAAAAAAAACAGACAAAAAAAUGUUGCAGUGAAAAGUAAGUUUCUUUCUCACCCUGGACCUCCACUCCAAUUCCUGUCUUGAACAGGCAAGCUGUUUCUCCAAAUCCUUCCAGAGAUAGGUAAGCAUAUAU
Long non-coding RNA from Acinonyx jubatus (cheetah), 1339 nucleotides. RefSeq lists it as uncharacterized. Lineage: Eukaryota; Metazoa; Chordata; Mammalia; Carnivora; Felidae. The transcript has 3 exons. The record is from RefSeq and is a predicted model, not a curated record.